RNAcentral lists this ribosomal RNA (1429 nucleotides) under uncultured bacterium. Its description in RNAcentral is "bacterial SSU rRNA". It matches the Rfam family "Bacterial small subunit ribosomal RNA". The record is from RNAcentral.
GGGCUUAACACAUGCAAGUCGAGGGGCAGCAUGGUCUUAGCUUGCUAAGGCCGAUGGCGACCGGCGCACGGGUGAGUAACACGUAUCCAACCUGCCGUCUACUCUUGGACAGCCUUCUGAAAGGAAGAUUAAUACAAGAUGGCAUCAUGAGUCCGCAUGUUCACAUGAUUAAAGGUAUUCCGGUAGACGAUGGGGAUGCGUUCCAUUAGAUAGUAGGCGGGGUAACGGCCCACCUAGUCUUCGAUGGAUAGGGGUUCUGAGAGGAAGGUCCCCCACAUUGGAACUGAGACACGGUCCAAACUCCUACGGGAGGCAGCAGUGAGGAAUAUUGGUCAAUGGGCGAGAGCCUGAACCAGCCAAGUAGCGUGAAGGAUGACUGCCCUAUGGGUUGUAAACUUCUUUUAUAAAGGAAUAAAGUCGGGUAUGGAUACCCGUUUGCAUGUACUUUAUGAAUAAGGAUCGGCUAACUCCGUGCCAGCAGCUGCGGUAAUACGGAGGAUCCGAGCGUUAUCCGGAUUUAUUGGGUUUAAAGGGAGCGUAGAUGGAUGUUUAAGUCAGUUGUGAAAGUUUGCGGCUCAACCGUAAAAUUGCAGUUGAUACUGGAUAUCUUGAGUGCAGUUGAGGCAGGCGGAAUUCGUGGUGUAGCGGUGAAAUGCUUAGAUAUCACGAAGAACUCCGAUUGCGAAGGCAGCCUGCUAAGCUGCAACUGACAUUGAGGCUCGAAAGUGUGGGUAUCAAACAGGAUUAGAUACCCUGGUAGUCCAUACGGUAAACGAUGAAUACUCGCUGUUUGCGAUAUACUGCAAGCGGCCAAGCGAAAGCGUUAAGUAUUCCACCUGGGGAGUACGCCGGCAACGGUGAAACUCAAAGGAAUUGACGGGGGCCCGCACAAGCGGAGGAACAUGUGGUUUAAUUCGAUGAUACGCGAGGAACCUUACCCGGGCUUAAAUUGCAGAUGAAUUACGGUGAAAGCCGUAAGCCGCAAGGCAUCUGUGAAGGUGCUGCAUGGUUGUCGUCAGCUCGUGCCGUGAGGUGUCGGCUUAAGUGCCAUAACGAGCGCAACCCUUGUUGUCAGUUACUAACAGGUUCCGCUGAGGACUCUGACAAGACUGCCAUCGUAAGAUGUGAGGAAGGUGGGGAUGACGUCAAAUCAGCACGGCCCUUACGUCCGGGGCUACACACGUGUUACAAUGGGGGGUACAGAGGGCCGCUACCACGCGAGUGGAUGCCAAUCCCCAAAACCUCUCUCAGUUCGGACUGGAGUCUGCAACCCGACUCCACGAAGCUGGAUUCGCUAGUAAUCGCGCAUCAGCCACGGCGCGGUGAAUACGUUCCCGGGCCUUGUACACACCGCCCGUCAAGCCAUGGGAGCCGGGGGUACCUGAAGUGCGUAACCGCGAGGAGCGCCCUAGGGUAAAACUGGUGACUG